RNAcentral lists this ribosomal RNA (256 nucleotides) under uncultured bacterium. Its description in RNAcentral is "partial 16S ribosomal RNA". It matches the Rfam family "Bacterial small subunit ribosomal RNA", at positions 521 to 776 of the family's 1533-position model. The record is from RNAcentral.
UAAAACGUAGGAGACAAACGUUAUCCGGAGUUACUGGGCGUAAAGGGCGUGCAGGCGGUUAUCUAAGUCUGGUGUGAAAUCUGUCGGCUUAACCGGGAGAGGUCAUUGGAAACUGGAUAACUCGAGGACGGUAGAGGCGUGUGGAAUUCCGGGUGUAGUGGUGAAAUGCGUAGAUAUCCGGAGGAACACCAGUGGCGAAGGCGACACGCUGGGCCGUACCUGACGCUAAGACGCGACAGCAUGGGGAGCGAACGGG